RNAcentral lists this long non-coding RNA (7225 nucleotides) under Brassica napus (rape). RNAcentral's name for it is "long non-coding RNA (BNAP_LNC013762)". The record is from RNAcentral. Lineage: Eukaryota; Viridiplantae; Streptophyta; Magnoliopsida; Brassicales; Brassicaceae.
ACACAAGAUUUGUUAACCCGGACUUCGUUUCCUACUGUCCGGGGAGGGAGCUUCGCCCUCAACGAUUCACUAAAGCCAAUAUAGAGUUCCGGUAACAGUUACACAGCUGAUAUCUCAACACAACAGAGAAGAUACAGUUUCGUUACCUCCGAAAUACACUCAAGGUAAUCGGAACCUUCUAUACGACGUCACCGGAGCUACUCCUGCUCCAGUCUCUGAUCAAUCGCACAAGGUAGAUUUCUCUUCUGCGAAUCGCUCUCUCCAGUCUCAGUUUCAGGAUGAUCGCAUGACGAAGAUAAAGUGGUCGUUAGGCCGUUAGACCUUUUGUCAUCACGUGACCUGACUUGGGCUUCUCAUCUCAUAUUCAAGCCCAGCUCGUCGGCCCAUUAGAAGAAGUCAGAAGUCCUCAAAGGCAAAGCCCACAAAUCUCCACCUCUUUUGACUUCAGACAUGUCGACGAGACCCUAACACUGUCGAUCUCUUCUCUCUUGUCGCCGAUUAACCUCAAUCCUAUCUCCUCCUGUCAUCGAUAUUCUUAGACCUCGAUCGUCAAUCAGCUUCUCCAUCAUCUCUUCUGAAACUGACCCGAAACAGCUCUCUCUUCAAAAGAAGCGAUCUCAGCUGUAACAUCUGACCCUGAAAAAAAACUGGGUGCUUUCCUAGCAAACCCUCUCUUUCUCCCUUAGUACUCCACCUGAGACAAGUAUCCCUUUGAGAAACAAUUUGACCUCCUGAUGAAACAACCAGAUGUAUCAACCAGAUAUCCUUCAGAGAUCACUUAUGACCUCCUUUACUCUACGGGUAACUCCUCUCCCUUAUUGUCUGAACUUCGUGAAUACUCCUUUUUUUUCAGACUUUACAGAAACUAACCACUCAGUUCUUCUUUGUUUAUGUAUGUGUGAAACACCAUUUGGAGCUACCCGGAGCCGCUCGUCUACUUCAGCAGACAUUCAGAAACUCACAGCAAAACUCAAACUUCGUGCCAGGUAAACACUUAGUUAGAAAAUCUGCCGGAUUCUUAGAAGUAUGUAUCUUCGCUAGGUUGACCACCCGCUUAGAUACGAUGUCCCUGAUGAAAUUGAACUGAGUAUCCAUGUGUUUAGUUCUCUCGUGAUGCACUGCAUUUUUAGAUAAAGCAAUUGCACUCUGUGAAUCACAGUGUAUCCUUACAUUGUCUUGUUUGUAGCCUAGUUCACUUACAAAAUUCCUUAGCCAAAUAGCUUCUUUGACUGCUAGAGUUAAAGCCAUGUAUUCUGCUUCAGUAGUAGAUAACGCCACUACUGACUGUAGUCCUGACUUCCAGGACACAGUGUUUCUUCCAACUUGAAAAACUAUUCCAGAAACUGAUCUCCUCUUAUCUAGAUCUGCGGAAUAAUCUGAAUCAGAAAACCCUUCAACCCUGAACUCUGUAGAUUUCUUAAACAUCAAACACUUCUCAUAAGAUUUCUUAAACAUCAAACACUUCUCAUAACUCCCGGCCACAUAUCUUAAAACCCAUUUCACAGCUUCCCAGUGUGCUCUACUCGGGUGAGACAUGAAUCGGCUGACCAGUCCCACAGCAAAACCCAAAUCAGGACGUGAUCCGACCAUGGCGUACAUCAGACUCCCUACAGCACUUGCGUAGGGCACAUCUUUCAUAUACCCAUAUUCCUCAUCUCGCUCUUUUGGAUGUAAACUCUUAAGUUUGAAAUGCGAAGCUGUUGGUGUAACAACUGAUAUAGCUUCGAACAUUCCAAACGUCUUGAGUACCUUCUCCAAAUACUUCGCUUGUGACAACUUAAGCGUUCCUUCAUUUCUAUCUCGUGUGAUAUCCAUGCUGAGGAUUCUCGAAGCUCUUCCUAGAUCCUUCAUCUCAAACUCUGAGAACAAACUAUUCUUCAAUUCCUUAAUUUCUGUUUUACUCCCUGAGGCAAUGAGCAUGUCGUCAACAUAUAACAACAAGUCGAUAGCUUUAUCCGAGCUCACAUUCUUCAUGUAUACACACGAGUCGUAUUCACUCCUUAUAAACUUCUGCUUCAUCAUAAAACCAUCAAACUUCAAAUUCCAUUGUCUCGGUGAUUGCUUGAGACCAUAUAAUGACUUUCUCAGCAAACAAACUUUAUUCUCAUCACCUUUCUUCACAAAACCUUCUGGCUGCUCCAUGAGAAUUCUCUCAUCUAAAUCCCCAUGUAGAAAAGCCGUUUUAACAUCCAUUUGCUCUAGCUCAUAGUCAAAAUUCACCACCAGAGAUAGUAUAAGGCGAAUAGAGACAUGCUUAACCACUGGAGAGAAAAUUUCAUUGUAGUCUAUGCCUUCCUUUUGGGAAUAACCCUUAGCUACAACUCGUCCUUUGAAUCUUGGAUCUUCAACUCCUGGAAUACCAGGCUUCAAUUUGAAAAUCCAACGACACCCCACAAGUUUCUGAUCUUUGGGUCUCUCAAUAAGGUCCCAUGUUCUGUUCUUAUCCAGAGACACCAUUUCUUCUUUUGCAGCAGCAUUCCAAAAUUUUCUCUCCUUUGUCUUCAUAGCUUCUGCAUAAGUCCUUGGUUCUUCGACUUCUAUUUCUUCUGCUGCAUUUAAUGCAUAAGCCACCAGAUUUGCAUCAUCAAAUCUCGAAGGUGGUCUGAUGUUUUGACGUCUGUUUCUAUCACGAGCUAAGACAUAAUUGUCCAGUGAAGGGUCUCCUGAACUGACCACAAUACCACCAUCCUGAUCCGACUCUGAUUCUUCAUCUGAAGUAUCUAACUCGUGUGAGCUCUCCUCAUCUGAUUCUUCUGUUAAAACUCCACCUGAACCUGAUGUCUCUCCUACCUCAGUGAUUGUCGUUGAAGGUCCCUGAAUCAAUUCAUCAUUGAAGCUCACACGUUUACCUUUUUUCUUACCAACAUCCUUUUCCUUGACGCCAGAUGAUGAAUCAGAUAAGGUAUCUUUGAAAACUUCUUGCUCAUGAAACACAACAUCUCGACUUGUAGUACAUUUUCCACCAUUCUCAAUCCAUAUUCUGUAGCCUUUUACCCCGAAAGGGUAACCCACAAAAACACCUUUCACUGCUCUCGGACUGAUCUUCUCUUGCACUCGAUGUACAUAAGCAGAACACCCAAACUUCCUGAGAUGUGACAAAUCAACUUUGCCACCUGACCACCUUUCUUCUGGCAGCUCAAAGCCAAUGCUUGAUCCAGGUGUUCUAUUGAUCAAAUAAACAGCUGUUGAGGUAGCUUCUGCCCAGAAUUCAGGUCCUAGUCCAGUCUCAGCUAACAUGCUCCUUACCUUGUCCAUAAUGGUUCUAUUCAUUCUUUCAGAAACACCAUUUUGCUGCGGUGUAUAAGUGCAAGUACGAUGUCUCUUCACCCCUGAAUCCUUGCACAGUUUAUCAAAUUUGUAGUUGCAGAACUCUAGACCAUUAUCCGUCCUUAGACACUUAAGCUUCUUGCCAGCUUGAUUCUCAACUUCAAGCUUCCAAUCUCUGAAUUUAUCAAAAGCUUCAUCCUUAGUCUUGAGAAAAUAAACCCACACUUUCUUUGAGUAGUCGUCUAUAAAACUAACAAAAUAUUUGCAUCCUCCAAGACUUUCUGGGGUUGAAGGAGAUCCCCAAAGAUCAGAGUGCACAUAAUCCAAAAUACCUUUUGUGAUAUGUUUAGCCUUUGGAAAACUUUGCUUAUGCGCCUUCCCUAACGCACAACUCUCACAAAACUCCAAUCCUUCAACCUCUUUAAUUUGCAAAUACCCCUUCUUGAUCAACACAUUCAUGUUAGACAGGCUCAUGUGUCCAAGUCUUGAGUGCCACAAGUCUGUCAUGUUUGUCUCAACUUUUCCAAUGUUAGCUUCAGCUCUUGAAACAGUGCCUUGUAGAUAGUACAAUCCAUCUUCAUAAUUUCCUGAGAAAACCUUAACACCAUUCUUGAAGAAGUCAAUUCUGAAGCCUUCACCCUUGUAGGUACAACCCGCUUUCUCUAACAUACCGUAUGAGAUAAGAUUCCUACUCAUCUUAGGCAUGUAUCGAACAUCAGUGAGAACAACUUCUUUUCCAUCUGAGUUAACAAUCUUGAUCUUUCCAAUUCCCUCAACAUCGCACUGAGUAUUAUUUGCCAUUAAAACCUUUCCUCCAUUCACCUUCUUGAAGUCAAAUAACACAUUCCUCUGUGGUGUUAUAUGAAAAGAACAUCCUGAGUCAAGCACCCAAUCAUCCUUAGUAUCUUGUGUACUGACUGUUAAGACCAAAGGUUGUUGUCUUGAUGCUGAGACUGUGUUAACCGAGUCACCAGAACCCUGUUGUCUGUUGUUUCUCUGUGGACACUCUAGUUUCCAGUGAUCAUCUUUGCCACAUAUGAAACACGCAGUCUUGCCAUCCUUGUUAGCUCUAGGCUUGGACUUUGAUCUCUGGUCCCUUGACUUUGAUCUUCCUCUGUAAGAUUGACUGUUACCUUUGUCAACCCUCUUGUUGGACCUUCCUCGUGACUCAACAUAUAAUCCUUCGGAACUAGACUUUUCUUUACUCACCAAACCUUUCUGCUUUAACUCAAUCUCCUUAGCAUAAGCAGACGUAGUUACUUCCCUCACAGUAAGAGUAUCCUUGCCAGUUCCAUACUUCAGUGUAUGAACUAAAGCCUCAUAUUGUGGUGGAAGACUUGUCAGUAGCUGUAUCGCUUGGUCUUCAUCAUCAACAUUGAUGUUGAGACUAGCUAGAUCUCCAAUCAUCUUGAGAAACACAUCCAUAUUCUCUUCAAUGCUUUUACCUUCUUCCAUCUUGAAACUUGCAAACUGUUACUUUAGAUAGAUCCGGUUAGGCAAUGUCUUAGUUUGAUAGUCAUGCUCAAGUGCCUUCCACAUACCAAGAGCUGUUGCCUCAUGCAUAACCUUUCUCAAGAUCAUAUCGCUUAGACACGUUCCCAUCAGGUUUUUCACUCGCGUGUCCUUAGCAACCUUGACUAGAUCCAAGAUUGGAUCAGCUCCUUCUUCAAGCUUCUCAGAAUCUUUGUAAAGAGUAGCAUUCUCAUCAAGCGCAGAUGCUAGUCCCUGUAUCUCUAGCUGACCAAGCAGUUUAUACUUCCACAUCCCAAAGUCUCCUUUUCCAUCAAACUUGUCCAUCUCGAAACGACCCCGUGUGGGAUCAAUCUCGACACGACUCGUUAUAGAGUCCAUCUUGAUCGAUCUCCUUCAGAUCCUCAAUCACAACACUUAAGCGUAACCUGAAGGCUCUGAUACACUUGUUAAUUUGCUUCCUAUAGAUCGUUCGCUUUGCUUUCGUGAUUAGAUUCUGAUGAUCGAUUGAUUUGCAGAAAUGAAAUAAGCGUAAAUCAAGAUCACACACAAGAUUUGUUAACCCGGACUUCGUUUCCUACUGUCCGGGGAGGGACCUUCGCCCUCAACGAUUCACUAAAGCCAAUAUAGAGUUCCGGUAACAGUUACACAGCUGAUAUCUCAACACAACGGAGAAGAUACAGUUCCGUUACCUCCGAAAUACACUCAAGGUAAUCGGAACCUUCUAUACGAUGUCACCGGAGCUACUCCUGCUCCAGUCUCUGAUCAAUCGCACAAGGUAGAUUUCUCUUCUGCGAAUCGCUCUCUCCAGUCUCAGUUUCAGGAUUAUCACAUGACGAAGAUAAAGUGCCGUUAGACCUUUUGUCAUCACGUGACCUGACUUGGGCUUCUCAUCUCAUAUUCAAGCCCAGCUCGUCGGCCCAUUAGAAGAAGACAGAAGUCCUCAAAGGCAAAGCCCACAUACUCUUUCCUAAUUUUCAUCACUAAUCCUUAAUUUGUUCAAUUAUAAACGGGUUGCAUAAUACUCAAAAUCUCACUCUUCACCAGAUCCAACCCUUCUGAUUCAUUACACAUACGGUAGUAACGCAUCUUCUGCGUUUCUGGGAAGUAUGAAAUUGUUUAAACUUUGUAUUCCAUAUCUGCCUGCUGACGUAGGUUUACCUUCUUUUCUAAACGAAUUUGUUCUUUUAUUUCUCUGAAGCUCAAUUAAAUUUUUGUUUUUUUUCUCCUGUUGAACCUCCAUCUUUCUCAGGAGACGAAGAGUACCAUAACAAUAUGUGGGGCCAUACACGGAUGCCUACCCUUCUGCGGUCUACUCAAACCAGUAUGACCUCAGCAGAUUCCAUGUUGCACAACAGAGAGGAUAUGGUGUAGCCUCAGAAUAUUUCCCGGAGAAAGAAAAGUAUUUACGAUCCAACUCAUGGGAUUUGCUUUUGGAGAGCCCUCUAGCGAGUAGCCUAACCGAUAAUGAUUUUUCUUAAAAUGGUAGUCGUAUAUCUGCUUAUAACAUAUCUUUUUGUAAAUCAUGUUGUUAGUUUGGUUCAAAGAUGCUUAUGGCACUCAACUGGAAACUUGGUGAAAAAGUUUGUAGUGUUUUUUUUUUUAAAACAUCCGGGAUAUAUCUGAUCCAUAUUCAACUAUAUCUCAGGGUUUAGCUCAAGUUUUGCAUCAAAAGGGGCUUUCUUAUGUUUCGUGAGAAGCAUCAUGAGCUCCAGUUUUGAGGUUGAUGGUUUUUGUCUAAUCUUUGACAAAGUCUUGUGCUUACUUUUUUGUUUGUUUGUUUUUUGCAGUCUUAUCAAGAAUACGUUGAAAUCCACAGCAGAUGCAUGAGACAACUUGGUCUUCCUGUCAGUAUGUUUUAUCCAUCACUGUUAUCCAUCCACUCUUCUAAAUCUAUGGUUUGACCUGAUGAUAGUAGUCAACUUACUUUCUUACAAUGUUUGUAGGCUUUGUCAUGUUUUUUUUUUUGAGUCCAUCUUGAUCGAUCUCCUUCAGAUCCUCAAUCACAACACUUAAGCGUAACCUGAAGGCUCUGAUACACUUGUUAAUUUGCUUCCUAUAGAUCGUUCGCUUUGCUUUCGUGAUUAGAUUCUGAUGAUCGAUUGAUUUGCAGAAAUGAAAUAAGCGUAAAUCAAGAUCACACACAAGAUUUGUUAACCCGGACUUCGUUUCCUACUGUCCGGGGAGGGACCUUCGCCCUCAACGAUUCACUAAAGCCAAUAUAGAGUUCCGGUAACAGUUACACAGCUGAUAUCUCAACACAACGGAGAAGAUACAGUUCCGUUACCUCCGAAAUACACUCAAGGUAAUCGGAACCUUCUAUACGAUGUCACCGGAGCUACUCCUGCUCCAGUCUCUGAUCAAUCGCACAAGGUAGAUUUCUCUUCUGCGAAUCGCUCUCUCCAGUCUCAGUUUCAGGAUUAUCACAUGACGAAGAUAAAGUGCCGUUAGACCUUUUGUCAUCACGUGACCUGACUUGGGCUUCUCA